CUAGAAUGUUCUGUUUAAUUAUCUAGCUGUUGAGCUUGGAUGGGUCCUUUAACCCCUCAGAGUUUCAGUUUUCUUAUUUAGUAAAAUGGGUAUAAUAUAAGGUGCAUCUUGCAGGGAAGAUGAAAAGACAGGUCUGGACAGUGGGUGAGGCAGCGGGGGAUCUGUUCCUGGAUAAGUGUUCACUGCAGGGAAGCAGGUGCUGGGAGUGAAAACCAAGCCCUGGGUUAAAUCCCAUUUCUCCCACUUGCUCUUUCUUUGGCCUUUGGUAACCUCUCUUCCCUCUCAGAGCCUCGCUUUUCUCAUCAAUGAUGUUGGGAAUCCCAGCAUCCUUCUUGCAAAGCUUUGCCGGCCCGAAGAGGCUCCCAGGCUAGGGAUCUAAUCGGAGCUGUUGCUGCUGGCCUACACCAGAGCCACAGCCACGCCAGAUCUGAGCUGUGUCUGCAACCUAUACCACAGCUCACGGCAAUGCCGGAUCCUUAACUCACUGAGCGAGGCCAGGGAUCAAACCCGCAACCUCAUGGUUCCUAGUCAGAUUCUUUUCUGCUGCGCCACGACGAUAACUCCAGAGGAAACUUUAAAAAGGUACCACCCUCCGGGCUUUGUACUCCAGCCUAGUGGAACUGAAGUCUUUGGGGGAGGAGGCUGGGAUCACUUUUUUAAAGUAUCCCCUGGGCUAAGAGGGAGGGCCCAUGGCUGACCUAAAGAGCAGGAACCAGAGAAGACAGCUAUUUCAUGGGCCCCACAUCAGCGCAAGGAGAUCAGAGAAGAAAUGUGAAUCCAACCUGGCCUUUUCAAUUUGUCCAUUCAGCUUACUGUGCUGGGCAGGUGCAUGAACAGGUAACUCUCAUCCUUCUUGUCGUGCAUCCCACUUCUUCACUUGGUGGCUGACUCGCUGGCUCAGCUUCCAAAGUGCAUCAUGAAGUUGGGUUAUCACAUGAGCCUUUCCUGUGCCUAAGGGUCCCUCGUGUCUGUGUUAUUAUGACUGAUUGGUGGGGGGGCACACCUGCAGCGUAUGGAAGUUCCUGGGCUGGGGGUCAAAUUAGAGCUGCAGCUGCCCAUCUACACCACAGCCACAUCAACGCCAGAUAUGAGCUGUGUCUGCAACUUAUACCGCAGCUCAUGGCAAUGCUGGAUCCUUAGCCCAUUGAAUGGGGCCAGGGAAUCCAUCCUUUGUCCUCAUGGAUACCAGCUGGGCGCAUUACUGCUGAGCCAUGACGGGAACUCCACCACCGAUGUUCUAAAACUACCCCACAACUUCCCCCUUGCUGAGGAGGUGGCAGGAUGGGGUGAUGCAGCCAGCCAGAUCAGUAAGGAAGGGCUUGACCAGCCCACAGCCCAGGAUGGAGCAGCACACUGGCCCCUCGGCCACUCAGGUCAAGCCUGGAAAUAGGAGCAUGACUUACUCACUUUGAUUUUUGAGCAGUUGAACAGAGGGCUUUCUUAAAUUCCUCGGAUCUCCCUCUGGAGAUGACCCCAAGCUUUACUGAGCUGUGAAUCACUGCUCAACACCUUUUUCUUUCUCUGCCUCCUUGGCAGUCUUGGAAGGACCUGAUUCAUUUCUUAGUUUUGACCCAGUGGACAAUAAAAAUGGGAAAAUCAAGGAUUUCUUAAAGCUGAGUUAAUCAUUGGCUACUUUGUGACACAAACUUUGACGUGAUGGAUUAACUAGUUGGGGAGAAUGGGUGGUUUUUAAAGCAUUUAAGCUGUAGCAUCUGCACUGAAUGAACUUGGGUUUAAUCAUGACCUCUGAGAGAAAGAAGGGCCCUGGACAUCAUUUGAUCUUAGCAUAUAGAAGAGGACACCUCAAGGGCUGGCAGAGGGAAGCCAUCAGCCUGAGUGUCAGGCUUGGUUGACCUGGGAACCAGAGGCUCGUUCCCAGAGUCCAGAAUCCUACUGUCUCUAUUACAGGCUUUUGGAAGUCACUGAGGAUCUGUGAACCACUUGUUUCUGCAUCUUCCAAUGAGAGGAGAGAUUCUCUAGCUUUCGUCCUGUUCUCAAAGUGGUCUU
Molecule: long non-coding RNA, 2007 nt
Filed under: Sus scrofa (pig)
Lineage: Eukaryota; Metazoa; Chordata; Mammalia; Artiodactyla; Suidae
Description: lncRNA (ENSSSCG00030022665.1)
Source: RNAcentral